RNAcentral lists this ribosomal RNA (465 nucleotides) under Vreelandella stevensii. RNAcentral's name for it is "partial 16S ribosomal RNA". It matches the Rfam family "Bacterial small subunit ribosomal RNA", at positions 338 to 795 of the family's 1533-position model. The record is from RNAcentral. Lineage: Bacteria; Pseudomonadati; Pseudomonadota; Gammaproteobacteria; Oceanospirillales; Halomonadaceae.
CCUACGGGAGGCUGCAGUGGGGAAUAUUGGACAAUGGGCGAAAGCCUGAUCCAGCCAUGCCGCGUGUGUGAAGAAGGCCUUCGGGUUGUAAAGCACUUUCAGUGGGGAAGAAAGCCUUGGGGCUAAUACCCUCGAGGAAGGACAUCACCCACAGAAGAAGCACCGGCUAACUCCGUGCCAGCAGCCGCGGUAAUACGGAGGGUGCGAGCGUUAAUCGGAAUUACUGGGCGUAAAGCGCGCGUAGGCGGUCUGAUAAGCCGGUUGUGAAAGCCCCGGGCUCAACCUGGGAACGGCAUCCGGAACUGUCAGGCUAGAGUGCAGGAGAGGAAGGUAGAAUUCCCGGUGUAGCGGUGAAAUGCGUAGAGAGCGGGAGGAAUACCAGUGGCGAAGGCGGCCUUCUGGACUGACACUGACGCUGAGGUGCGAAAGCGUGGGUAGCAAACAGGAUUAGAUACCCGAGUAGUC